ACCCUCCAGUUCCCUUUCCCAUUGGAUUUGAACCCUGGUCUCAGUGGUCGUAAAAGGAGGAAUAGUAGUCCUGAAGCUGUGCUCAUAGCAUCUGCUAUAUAGCAUGUGGGCUAGUUUAAAACAAGG
Delphinapterus leucas (beluga whale) is the source of this 126-nucleotide small nucleolar RNA. Ensembl annotates it as small nucleolar RNA SNORA61. The record is from Ensembl. NCBI's taxonomy places the organism in Eukaryota, Metazoa, Chordata, Mammalia, Artiodactyla, Monodontidae.